UAAGUUAGAAGUUGAAAUAGUUGUUAUUAAUUAAUGAUGCGGUCCCAACGCAUCAAGCCCUAAUUGGGAGGUGAUAAGUGAUGUGGGGGUGGCAGUCCCACCUAACCUA
Molecule: non-coding RNA, 109 nt
Filed under: unclassified sequences
Description: skipping-rope RNA
Rfam family: skipping-rope RNA
About the family: Firmicutes, Fusobacteria, AlphaProteobacteria, Spirochaetes. Downstream gene
Source: Rfam by way of RNAcentral